GCCAUCAUGGUCUAGUGGUUAGAGCAUUAGACUACAACUCUGGAAACCAGGGUUCAAAUAUUUGUUCAGUCA
This is a non-coding RNA of Phrynosoma platyrhinos (Desert horned lizard), 72 nucleotides long. The record is from the annotation of a GenBank genome assembly. NCBI's taxonomy places the organism in Eukaryota, Metazoa, Chordata, Lepidosauria, Squamata, Phrynosomatidae.